This 727-nucleotide ribosomal RNA is filed under the name uncultured Peredibacter sp. RNAcentral's name for it is "bacterial SSU rRNA". It matches the Rfam family "Bacterial small subunit ribosomal RNA", at positions 686 to 1411 of the family's 1533-position model. The record is from RNAcentral. Lineage: Bacteria; Pseudomonadati; Bdellovibrionota; Bacteriovoracia; Bacteriovoracales; Bacteriovoracaceae.
AACCGUAUUGAUUUGAAGGGACAGGGGAGCCGAAGGCGCCUGCCAGGACGACUAUUGACGCUGAGGCGCCAAAGCGUGGGGAGCAAACAGGAUUAGAUACCCUGGUAGUCCACGCCGUAAACGAUAAGCACUAGUUAUUAGAGGUAUUGACUCCUUCAGUGACGCAGCUAACGCAUUAAGUGCUCCGCCUGGGGAGUUCGGUCGCAAGACAAAAACUCAAACAAAUUGACGGGGGCCCGCACAAGCGGUGGAUUAUGUGGUUUAAUUCGUUGCAACGCGGAGAACCUUACCUAGGCUUGAACUCCUACGAACCCGAAGUAAUAAACGGGGUGCCCGCAAGGGAAUGUAGGGAGAGGUGCUGCAUGGCUGUCGUCAGCUCGUGUUGUGAAAUGUUGGGUUAAGUCUCGCAACGAGCGCAACCCCUAUCGUCUGUUGCCAGCUUUAAGUUGGGCACUCUGACGAGACUGCCUGGGUUAUCCAGGAGGAAGGGCGGGAGGACGUCAAGUCCUCAUGGCCCCCAUGUCUAGUGAUACACACGUAAUACAAUGGCGCGUACAGAGGGAAGCGAACUCGCAAGGCCGAGCAAAUCUCAAAAAGCGCGCCUCAGUUCGGAUUGGAGUCUGCUUCUCGACUCCAUGAAGUUGGAAUCGCUAGUAAUCGGAGAUCUUCACGGGCCGGUGAAUACGUUAACGGGCCUUGAUCACACCGCCCGUCACACCAUGGGAUA